RNAcentral lists this ribosomal RNA (255 nucleotides) under uncultured bacterium. RNAcentral's name for it is "partial 16S ribosomal RNA". It matches the Rfam family "Bacterial small subunit ribosomal RNA", at positions 524 to 776 of the family's 1533-position model. The record is from RNAcentral.
UACGUAGGGGGCAAGCGUUGUCCGGAUUUAUUGGGCGUAAAGAGCGUGUAGGCGGCCAAGCAGGUCCGCUGUGAAAACUCGAGGCUCAACCCUCGAGAGGUCGGUGGAAACCGUUUGGCUAGAGUCCGGAAGAGGAGAGUGGAAUUCCCGGUGUAGCGGUGAAAUGCGCAGAUAUCGGGAAGAACACCCGUGGCGAAGGCGGCUCUCGUGGGACGGUACUGACGCUGAGACGCGAAAGCGUGGGGAGCGAACAGG